MicroRNA precursor from Castor canadensis (American beaver), 60 nucleotides. The record is from Ensembl. Lineage: Eukaryota; Metazoa; Chordata; Mammalia; Rodentia; Castoridae.
CGGCCCCACGCACCAGGGUAAGAGAGACUCUGGCUUCCUGCCCUGGCCCGAGGGACCGAC